Molecule: RNA transcript, 2919 nt
Organism: Archocentrus centrarchus (flier cichlid)
Lineage: Eukaryota; Metazoa; Chordata; Actinopteri; Cichliformes; Cichlidae
Gene: prmt7
Gene name: protein arginine methyltransferase 7
Exons: 18
Source: RefSeq, a predicted model, not a curated record
GUGUAAAGAUGGCGGCUUCCUUUGGAGCAACGCUGUUUCUGUGAUCCUGUUUACUGGGCGACCUAAACCAGCGUUGAUUCAGCCGUACAGCUUUCAGAGCGCUGCGGCGGAGAUGAAGACCUUCUGCGGGAGAGCCAACCCGACCACCGGAGCUUUAGACUGGGUGGAGGAGAGCGAGGAGUACGACUACCACCAGGAGAUCGCCAGGUCCUGUUAUGCAGACAUGCUGCAUGAUCACGACAGGAAUAAGAAGUACUACGAGGGCAUCCGGGCAGCCGUAGCCAGAGUAAAGGCUCGUGGCGAGAGGGUCAUCGUCCUGGACAUCGGCACCGGAACCGGCCUCCUGUCGAUGAUGGCCGUCACCGCCGGGGCUGACUUCUGCUACGCUGUGGAGGUUUUUAAGCCCAUGGCUGAGGCGGCGCAGUGCAUCGUGGAGAAGAACGGCUUCUCCGACAAGAUUAAGAUCAUCAACAAACACUCCACAGAUGUCACAGUGGGACCAGAUGGAGAUAUGGAAGUGAAGGCCAACAUCCUGAUCACAGAGCUGUUUGAUACCGAGCUGAUCGGUGAAGGAGCCCUGCCCAGCUAUGAGCAUGCUCACCAAAACCUGGUUCAGGAGCGCUGUGAGGCCGUCCCUCACCGGGCCACCGUCUACGCCCAGCUGGUGGAGUCGGAGCUUCUGUGGAGCUGGGCUCAGCUGCAGCCGGUGGAGGUGGAGGGGGUCCGACUGGUCCCUCCGCCCGCGGUGGGCCGGUGCGCCGGAGCCCACGCGGUGUGUGACAUCCAGCUGAGCCAGGUGUCUCCGGCUAGCUUCACCCCACUAGGUCCCGUCUGCAACAUGUUCACUGUGGAUUUCAGCAAAUCUGUAAGCAGCGCCUUCCAGGUCCACUCCUCCCAGUUUGUGGCUCAGUCGAGCGGUCGGGCACAGGUGGUUUUGUCCUGGUGGGACCUCGAUAUGGAUCCCAGUGGGUCUAUAGUGUGCACCAUGGCACCCAGCUGGACGUACCAACAGCCAAAGAUGGCUCCAUGGCGGGACCACUGGAUGCAGAGUGUGUACUUCCUGCCUGUGGAAAGCCAGGUGACAGAAGGGGAGGAGCUGAGCCUGACGGUCUGCCACGAUGACUACAGUCUGUGGUACAGCCUGCAGCCUCGCAGCCAGCGGGACACACAGACUGAGGCUCCUCCCUCUCGCCCGUGCUGCACCUGCCAGGCUCACCUGGUUUGGACUCGGCCACGUUUCGGCGAACUCAACGACAGACAGCGUACAGAGAGCUACGUCAGUGCUCUGCGCAGCGUCGUGAGAGAGGACAGCGUGUGUCUCAGCGUCAGCGAUGGAAGUCUGCUUCCUGUGUUCGCUCACGUGCUCGGAGCCAAGAAGGUGUUUGGUUUGGAAAACUCAGGAAUGUCUAAACAGGUUAUUGACGAGGUUUUGGAAGCCAACUCAAUGAAAGGAAGUGUUGAUCUGCUGGAGAUCAGGCCGGAGCAGCUGAGCAGUAAUGAUCUACAAGGAGAGCAGAUCUCAGUCCUGCUGGGUGAACCCUACUUCAGCACCAGCCUCCUGCCGUGGCACUCCCUGUUUUUCUGGUACUGUCGCACCGCCCUGGCAGGCCUCCUGCGGCCCAGCGCCACCAUCCUGCCCUGCUCUGCCUCCCUGCACGUGGUGGCCGUGGAGUUCCAGGAUUUGUGGAGGAUUAGAGCGCCGUGUGGAUCGUGUGAGGGCUUCGACGUCACGCCCAUGGAUGAAAUGGUCCAGCGCUCUCUGGAUUUCCGUGAGUCCCGUGAGGCGGAGCCGCACCCCCUCUGGGAGUACCCUUGUCGGGCUCUCACCCAGUCCACCGCCGUCAUGACUUUUGACUUCACACAGUGCAUCCCUGAGCAGCCAAUCAGCAGCCAGGGCUCGCUGCCUUUCAUUAGGGAAGGUCGUUGCCACGGUGUUGCAUUGUGGAUGGAAUACCAGCUGACAGAUGACAUCACUGUCAGUGCAGGUCUCACUGGACCAAUCAGUGAGCAGGGCGACUGCGAGUGGAGUCGACACAGGAAGCAGGGCGUGUACUUCCUCAGGUCGCCGUGGGAGAGUUCAGGGGACGGCAGGGCCGCGGUGUCGUACAGCCUCACCUUUGAACCCAGUUUAGGAGACGUUAGGAUGGACUUCAGCGUCACGUCUCAGUGAUGUCACCGACUGAACAACUCGUGCUGACAUCACUGCGCUCCUCCCACCUGGUGCAUUAUUAACACGUUCUGUUCUGACUGAAGGUGCCGCUUGCUGUUAUAAUAUUUCAUUAUCUCAAAGACUGUAAUGUAAGCAUCAUCAUCGUCACGCUUAGCCAAGAUUCAGGAGCGUCGUGUGCUACAGGUGACCAGAUGUCAACCAGCAGGUUCAGUCUAGUGAAGCCAAAUAUUACAAGACUGUAUUUAUUGGAUAUUUGUGAAUGAUUUUGUUACAGCCGCUGAAAUUAAACCUUACUUUAUCCAUUUUUUUAAUGUCACAGUUUCUGUGAAGGAAGUGUACUUGUUUUAGAAGAGCGCCGUUUGUGAUACUAAUGAGGCACCUCCAUCCACCCGACUGAAGUUGCCCAAAUAUAAGAUUUUGUGACUUCCUCAUUUUCCCAAAUCUCUACAAAGACGAUGUAACGUUGGCUCGACCCAAACACGUUCAGAGAACGGCUCCUCUUCCUGCUCUGUCGGGAUCAAACAUUCGAUCAUCUUCUGUAAAAUUUUAGUCUUUUUUUUAAUGUCCAUCAGUUUCCUAAAGAACACAGGGAGUUCAACUAACUUUAUUCAUACAGUUUGAUCUGAAGUGGCCGUUUCCCUUAGUCUAAAAAAGUACCUUCAUAUUUUAUUAACUAUUAAUUAAGUGAGGUGUCUGAAGAAGAAUAACAAAUUUGUCUGUUUUUCUAAACACUGCUGUUAGAAAUCAGG